RNAcentral lists this ribosomal RNA (2496 nucleotides) under Wilmottia koreana FBCC-A812. Its description in RNAcentral is "partial contains 16S ribosomal RNA, 16S-23S ribosomal RNA intergenic spacer, and 23S ribosomal RNA". The stretch from base 1 to 1488 matches the Rfam family "Bacterial small subunit ribosomal RNA". The record is from RNAcentral. Lineage: Bacteria; Bacillati; Cyanobacteriota; Cyanophyceae; Coleofasciculales; Wilmottiaceae.
UUUAGAGUUUGAAUCCUGGCUCAGGAUGAACGCUGGCGGUCUGCUUAACACAUGCAAGUCGAACGGAAGUAGAAAUACUUUAGUGGCGGACGGGUGAGUAACGCGUGAGAAUCUACCUCAAGGACGGGGACAACCAUUGGAAACGAUGGCUAAAACCGGAUGAGCCGAAGGGUAAAAAAUUAAUUGCCUUGAGAAGAGCUCGCGUCUGAUUAGCUAGUUGGUAGGGUAAAAGCCUACCAAGGCAUCGAUCAGUAGCUGGUCUGAGAGGAUGACCAGCCACACUGGGACUGAGACACGGCCCAGACUCCUACGGGAGGCAGCAGUGGGGAAUUUUCCGCAAUGGGCGAAAGCCUGACGGAGCAAGACCGCGUGAGGGAGGAAGGCUCUUGGGUUGUAAACCUCUUUUCUUGGGGAAGAAAAAAAUGACGGUACCCAAGGAAUCAGCAUCGGCUAACUCCGUGCCAGCAGCCGCGGUAAUACGGAGGAUGCAAGCGUUAUCCGGAAUUAUUGGGCGUAAAGCGUCCGCAGGUGGCACUUCAAGUCUGCUGUCAAAGACAGUGGCUUAACUACUGAAAGGCAGUGGAAACUGAAGCGCUAGAGUGUCGUAGGGGUAGAGGGAAUUCCCGGUGUAGCGGUGAAAUGCGUAGAGAUCGGGAAGAACAUCGGUGGCGAAAGCGCUCUACUGGACGGCAACUGACACUCAGGGACGAAAGCUAGGGGAGCGAAUGGGAUUAGAUACCCCAGUAGUCCUAGCCGUAAACGAUGGAUACUAGGUGUGGCUUGUAUCGACCCGAGCCGUGCCGUAGCUAACGCGUUAAGUAUCCCGCCUGGGGAGUACGCGCGCAAGCGUGAAACUCAAAGGAAUUGACGGGGGCCCGCACAAGCGGUGGAGUAUGUGGUUUAAUUCGAUGCAACGCGAAGAACCUUACCAGGGCUUGACAUGUCCGGAAUCUUGAUGAAAGUUAAGAGUGCCUUCGGGAGCCGGAACACAGGUGGUGCAUGGCUGUCGUCAGCUCGUGUCGUGAGAUGUUGGGUUAAGUCCCGCAACGAGCGCAACCCUCGUCUUUAGUUGCCAGCAUUAAGAUGGGCACUCUAGAGAGACUGCCGGUGACAAACCGGAGGAAGGUGGGGAUGACGUCAAGUCAGCAUGCCCCUUACGUCCUGGGCUACACACGUACUACAAUGCUAUGGACAAAGGGCAGCCAACCAGCGAUGGUGCGCUAAUCCCAUAAACCAUGGCUCAGUUCAGAUCGCAGGCUGCAACUCGCCUGCGUGAAGGAGGAAUCGCUAGUAAUUGCAGGUCAGCAUACUGCAGUGAAUCCGUUCCCGGGCCUUGUACACACCGCCCGUCACACCAUGGAAGCUGGCCACGCCCGAAGUCGUUACCCUAACCUUUCGAGGAGGGGGACGCCGAAGGCAGGGCUGGUGACUGGGGUGAAGUCGUAACAAGGUAGCCGUACCGGAAGGUGUGGCUGGAUCACCUCCUUUUAGGGAGACCAACGGCGGCAGUAAAAAAGCUAAAAGCCAAUUUUUACAGCCAGAGCAAUCCCAAGGUCGUGCGAGCGUAGAGGAAACAGAAGCUUUCAAACUAUUAAUUGGUUCGGUCUCACGGGCUAUUAGCUCAGGUGGUUAGAGCGCACCCCUGAUAAGGGUGAGGUCCCUGGUUCGAGUCCAGGAUGGCCCACCUCACAGGUGAAGUAAAAAGCAGCAAACCGACCCAAGUUAUUGCCCAAAACAGGCAUCACCCGAAAAUCUAGCACCUGAAAUUGCUCAAGAAAAGCAAAUCAGUCUGCUGGAGUUAAAAUCCAGUCAGCACCUUGAAAACUGCAUAGCAAACGGAAAUUUGAUUUGAGUAGUGACACCGAAGAGGAUGUCAUUAAUCAAGUCAACAAAAAUCAACCAAUGUGGUCAAGCUACAAAGAGCUUAUGGUGGAUACCUAGGCACACAGAGGCGAAGAAGGACGUAGCGACCGACGAAACACUCCGGGGAGCUGGAAGCAAGCUUUGAGCCGGAGAUCUCCGAAUGGGGCAACCCCAAGUACAGCCUGUUGAAUCUAUAGACAGGUAUGAGCCAACCCAGCGAACUGAAACAUCUUAGUAGCUGGAGGAACAGAAAUCAAACAGAGAUUCCCUAAGUAGCGGCGAGCGAAAGGGGAAAAGCCUAAACCAGUUGUUUUAAUAACUGGGGUCGUGGGACAGCGCCAUGGAAUCUGCACCGCUAGACGAAGCUGUUGAAAGCAGCACCAAAGAAGGUGAAAGUCCUGUAGUCGAAAGUGGCAAGAUACUAGCUGUAUCCCGAGUAGCAUGGGGCACGUGAAAUCCCGUGUGAAUCAGCGAGGACCAUCUCGUAAGGCUAAAUACUCCUGUGUGACCGAUAGUGAACCAGUACCGCGAGGGAAAGGUGAAAAGAACCCCGGAAGGGGAGUGAAAUAGAACCUGAAACCAUAAGCUUACAAGCAAUGGAAGGACUAUUCAAAGUCUGACCGUGUGCCUGUU